UGGGUUGUGGCUCAGUGGUAGAGUACUUGCCUAGCAUGUGUAGAGCACUUCCCAAAAUUAUUGGGAAGCUGGGCAUGGUGGUGCAGCAAUUCAGGAGGCUGAGCAAGAGGAUCACACUGGGUUUGAUUCUCAGCACCACAU
Molecule: transfer RNA, 141 nt
Filed under: Marmota monax (woodchuck)
Lineage: Eukaryota; Metazoa; Chordata; Mammalia; Rodentia; Sciuridae
Description: tRNA.Ala
Source: RNAcentral